This 343-nucleotide unclassified non-coding RNA is filed under the name soil metagenome. Its description in RNAcentral is "partial contains 5.8S ribosomal RNA, internal transcribed spacer 2, and large subunit ribosomal RNA". The stretch from base 1 to 120 matches the Rfam family "5.8S ribosomal RNA", at positions 35 to 154 of the family's 154-position model. The record is from RNAcentral.
GAUGAAGAACGCAGCGAAAUGCGAUAAGUAAUGUGAAUUGCAGAAUUCAGUGAAUCAUCGAAUCUUUGAACGCACAUUGCGCCCGCUAGUAUUCUGGCGGGCAUGCCUGUCCGAGCGUCAUUUCAACCCUCAAGCCCCCGGGCUUGGUGUGGGGGAUCGGCGAGCCUCCGCGCCCGCCGUCCCCUAAAUCUAGUGGCGGUCUCGCUGUAGCUUCCUCUGCGUAGUAGCACACCUCGCACUGGGAAACAGCGCGGCCACGCCGUUAAACCCCCAACUUCUGAACGUUUGACCUCGGAUCAGGUAGGAAUACCCGCUGAACUUAAGCAUAUCAAUAAGCGGAGGA